AGUCAUUGCAUUCAAAAUAUGGAAGAACAACACGAAAUUUCAUAUUACAAUAUUAACCAAAUUGAACAGCCUUUGAAACAUCAAAGCAAAUGAUUUUAUUGAUUCAGUAAAAAUAACAAACACUUGGAAGAUUGUUCAUAACUAUGCCCGAAUCCAUGACAAAUUAAUACUACAAUAUUAACCAAAUAGAACAACGUUGAUGAUUCAAAGCAAAUAAGUUUAUUCAUUCGGUAAAAAUAACAAACACUUGGAAGACUCUUUACAACUAUGCCUCCAUCCAUAAAUUUUCAGUUUUGUAGACACUACCCCACCCCAUGUUAAAGAAGGUUAUAGAGAGCGCUUAUCAAUAUUGAUAUACCAUAAAUGGCACCCACGAACUGCAGUUGUAAAAAACAAAACCCACGGCCACACUUCCAGUAAAUGCCAUCCCUAGGAGAUCAUAACUAUUGCCCCCACACACGGAUGCAUUGCUUUGUGGAUAGUAAAAUACGAUAAGGAUUAAGUGUUGAGUUAAGUUUUUGUUAAGCAUUGAAUUAAUAGUUGUUAGGUAAGAGAAAUAAAAAAAUAAAAAUUCAAAAUAAAUCUUGAUCAUUAAUUCAAUACUCAGCUAAAAAAAAAAAAAUCAACACUGAAUCCUAAUUCAGUAAAAUAAUAGCUCUGAUAUUGAUUUAAUAUGGAAUUAUCACGUCCGUGGUGAACCAAUUCUUAGUGAAAUUAUAAAUUUUUUUUAUGAUUAUGACAAUGAUGGAUAAAAUUUUUAAAAGAAAGAGAGAGAUUAUUGUUAUUUUUUUCUUUUUAAAAUAUGUUUUAUAAGUUUU
This 818-nucleotide long non-coding RNA is filed under the name Citrus maxima (pomelo). RNAcentral's name for it is "long non-coding RNA (CMAX_LNC000210)". The record is from RNAcentral. Lineage: Eukaryota; Viridiplantae; Streptophyta; Magnoliopsida; Sapindales; Rutaceae.